AGACACGGAGACAUACAAGUUGAGGAGGAGCCCCAAGUCAGCUCUGCUGCUGCCUUCUAGGUGCUCCUUGCUCUGACAGCCCAGCCUACACCCCACCCCGUGCCCCAGCUCAGGAGUUUGUGAAAGCACUUCCCCUACGCCAUUCCAGCCCCAACGACGUGAAGGGAUGUGGGCUCCGGCAAGCCAAGCCAAGCCCUGAUCGGCCGAGUGAGGGGCUGGUACACUGGACUUCCUGGCAAGGCUGGGGCAGGAACGGUAAGUGUCUCAAGUCCCCACGCAACGCUGUGUGAACGAGAACGCAACAGCCCCCUGCCCACGACACUUACUACCAUCGGUCCCUAAACUGUCACCAUUUCCAACAUAGGCCAGGGAUGGCUCCAGUGAAACGGAACCCCCGGCGGGUUGCUCAGCGCACACAACCUGACUGAAGAAGACAGCAGCCUUGCAGGAAGGACCCUUGGGACGAGGGCGUCUCUCGAGGCUGGAUUCUGCCUCGGAAGGUCAAGUGCGACAGCUUGAAUCUAAGGUCAAGAGUUGGGGACGUUCAGAUCCUGGGGAUAUUGGCCGGCGUGGCUCCCCACGUAUGCGCUGGGAGCGUUCAGAGGCUGGGCCCGAGGCCAAGAAAGUGGUACCCAUCAAUCCUGUCUA
Peromyscus leucopus (white-footed mouse) is the source of this 648-nucleotide long non-coding RNA. RefSeq lists it as uncharacterized. NCBI's taxonomy places the organism in Eukaryota, Metazoa, Chordata, Mammalia, Rodentia, Cricetidae. The transcript has 2 exons. The record is from RefSeq and is a predicted model, not a curated record.